UUCCGUAGGUGGAACCUGCGGAAGG
Molecule: ribosomal RNA, 25 nt
Filed under: Phaeophyscia ciliata
Lineage: Eukaryota; Fungi; Ascomycota; Lecanoromycetes; Caliciales; Physciaceae
Also listed under: 2 other names
Description: partial 18S ribosomal RNA
Source: RNAcentral